CAGCCGCCGCGGUAAUACGUAGGUGGCAAGCGUUGUCCGGAAUUAUUGGGCGUAAAGGGCUCGCAGGCGGUUUCUUAAGUCUGAUGUGAAAGCCCCCGGCUCAACCGGGGAGGGUCAUUGGAAACUGGGGAACUUGAGUGCAGAAGAGGAGAGUGGAAUUCCACGUGUAGCGGUGAAAUGCGUAGAGAUGUGGAGGAACACCAGUGGCGAAGGCGACUCUCUGGUCUGUAACUGACGCUGAGGAGCGAAAGCGUGGGGAGCGAACAGGAUUAGAUACCCGCGUAGUCCCUGUCUCUUAUAC
This 301-nucleotide ribosomal RNA is filed under the name uncultured bacterium. RNAcentral describes it as "partial 16S ribosomal RNA". It matches the Rfam family "Bacterial small subunit ribosomal RNA", at positions 509 to 807 of the family's 1533-position model. The record is from RNAcentral.